GAUGAACGCUGACAGAAUGCUUAACACAUGCAAGUCUUUGGCGAAGCUGUGCUUGCACAGCCUAGCCAAGGCGGACGGGUGAGUAACGCGUAAGGAACUUGCCCUGCAGUCAGGGAUAACAGACGGAAACGACUGAUAAGACCUGGUAAAGUCGGGCGGACUCAUGUCCAGCCUGAUGAAAAGAGAUGCUGCAGGAGAGCCUUGCGUCCUAUUAGCUUGUUGGUGGGGUAACGGCCCACCAAGGCGAUGAUAGGUAGCCGGCCUGAGAGGGUGGACGGCCACAAGGGGACUGAGAUACGGCCCUUACUCCUACGGGAGGCAGCAGUGGGGAAUAUUGGACAAUGGGGGCAACCCUGAUCCAGCAAUUCUGUGUGCACGAUGAAGGUUUUCGGAUUGUAAAGUGCUUUCAGCAGGGAAGAAAAAAAUGACGGUACCUGCAGAAGAAGCGACGGCUAAAUACGUG
This 463-nucleotide ribosomal RNA is filed under the name uncultured bacterium. RNAcentral's name for it is "partial 16S ribosomal RNA". It matches the Rfam family "Bacterial small subunit ribosomal RNA", at positions 28 to 507 of the family's 1533-position model. The record is from RNAcentral.